GGGCCGAAAAGAUAGCAUCACCUCAUGACAAGUGGGAGCUGCUUAUAUUUAUUGUAUCGAAUGAUGGCUAAGGCUUUGGGGAUAGCGAGAUUUUAUUCACGACUGCUCUUUACAAAGAGGCCCCUUGUCAAUUACCGCCAUCAUGACAAGUCACUAUAUUUGAUGGCUCAAUAUGACAGGAAUAUCAUGAGGCCUUUUGGGGCCCAAUGACCAAAGCCAGAGGUUAGAGAUCGAUGUUGGGAUCAAUAGUCAAAGCAAGGGCCAAGGCCACUACGGAGUUCGUCAAUAGAAGUAG
Molecule: long non-coding RNA, 295 nt
Filed under: Elaeis guineensis (African oil palm)
Lineage: Eukaryota; Viridiplantae; Streptophyta; Magnoliopsida; Arecales; Arecaceae
Description: long non-coding RNA (EGUI_LNC016553)
Source: RNAcentral